CGGACGGGUGAGUAACGCGUAGGUAUCUAUCGAUGGGUGGGGGACAACCGUGGGAAACUACGGCUAAUACCGCAUGACACCUGAGGGUCAAAGCUCGCGAGAGCGCCUGUGGAGGAGCCUGCGUCCGGUUAGCUUGUUGGUGGGGUAACGGCCUACCAAGGCGACGAUCGGUAGCUGGUCUGAGAGGAUGAUCAGCCACACUGGGACUGAGACACGGCCCAG
RNAcentral lists this ribosomal RNA (222 nucleotides) under uncultured bacterium. Its description in RNAcentral is "partial 16S ribosomal RNA". It matches the Rfam family "Bacterial small subunit ribosomal RNA", at positions 99 to 334 of the family's 1533-position model. The record is from RNAcentral.